This 28-nucleotide non-coding RNA is filed under the name Mus musculus (house mouse). Lineage: Eukaryota; Metazoa; Chordata; Mammalia; Rodentia; Muridae. The record is from RNAcentral.
UGAUUGCCCCCUUAGUUGCCCCAAGAGA